Molecule: ribosomal RNA, 112 nt
Filed under: Caerostris darwini
Lineage: Eukaryota; Metazoa; Arthropoda; Arachnida; Araneae; Araneidae
Source: RNAcentral
AACGGCCAUACCAUGCUGAAUAUACCGGUUCUCGUUAGAUCACCGAAGUCAAGCAUCAUUGAGCACGGUCAGUACUUGGGUGGGUGGCCACCUGGGAACACCGCGUGCCGUU